AGCUUGCUACUUUUGCCGGCGAGCGGCGGACGGGUGAGUAAUGCCUGGGGAUCUGCCCAGUCGAGGGGGAUAACUACUGGAAACGGUAGCUAAUACCGCAUACGCCCUACGGGGGAAAGCAGGGGACCUUCGGGCCUUGCGCGAUUGGAUGAACCCAGGUGGGAUUAGCUAGUUGGUGAGGUAACGGCUCACCAAGGCGACGAUCCCUAGCUGGUCUGAGAGGAUGAUCAGCCACACUGGAACUGAGACACGGUCCAGACUCCUACGGGAGGCAGCAGUGGGGAAUAUUGCACAAUGGGGGAAACCCUGAUGCAGCCAUGCCGCGUGUGUGAAGAAGGCC
This 340-nucleotide ribosomal RNA is filed under the name Streptococcus suis. Its description in RNAcentral is "bacterial SSU rRNA". It matches the Rfam family "Bacterial small subunit ribosomal RNA", at positions 77 to 416 of the family's 1533-position model. The record is from RNAcentral. Lineage: Bacteria; Bacillati; Bacillota; Bacilli; Lactobacillales; Streptococcaceae.